This 329-nucleotide long non-coding RNA is filed under the name Gossypium raimondii (Peruvian cotton). RNAcentral's name for it is "long non-coding RNA (GRAI_LNC009702)". Lineage: Eukaryota; Viridiplantae; Streptophyta; Magnoliopsida; Malvales; Malvaceae. The record is from RNAcentral.
AGGGAAGGAAUACUCAGUUGCGACAGCAACGGCCAAUAUGUUCUUGUAGCCAUUGAUGAACAUGUGUGGUGCAGCAGCCAGGGUUGGGUACGAGAUGGCGAGAGACAAUGCCGUAACCAUGGAGACACCAGUAGCGAAUUUCUCAAUCAGGUCAUCCUCGGUAAGGUCAAGCACCUCAGGGCUAAAGACUGACCCAUUGUCAUAAACAGACAAGACAACAAGACCGUAUGAGAAUGGUCUGAUUCCGAGCUUGGCAAGAAGUGCAGCCUCGGAAGAACCAACCUUCUCACCCUUCUUGAUAAGCUCAACGGGAGUGAUAAUUUCAACAG